UACAGAGGUCCCCAAGCGUUGUUCGGAUUUACUGGGCGUAAAGGGUGCGUAGGUGGUUGGGUAAGUUUGAUGUGAAAUCUCCGAGCUUAACUCGGAAAUGGCAUUGAAUACUAUUCGGCUAGAGGUUUGGAGGGGGGGACUGGAAUUCUUGGUGUAGCAGUGAAAUGCGUAGAUAUCAAGAGGAACACCAGUGGCGAAGGCGAGUCCCUGGACAACACCUGACACUGAGGCACGAAAGCUAGGGGAGCAAACAGG
Molecule: ribosomal RNA, 255 nt
Filed under: uncultured bacterium
Lineage: Bacteria
Description: partial 16S ribosomal RNA
Rfam family: Bacterial small subunit ribosomal RNA
Source: RNAcentral